This 3639-nucleotide long non-coding RNA is filed under the name Sus scrofa (pig). RNAcentral describes it as "lncRNA (ENSSSCG00060073724.1)". The record is from RNAcentral. Lineage: Eukaryota; Metazoa; Chordata; Mammalia; Artiodactyla; Suidae.
GUGUCUCACAGACAGAAUCAUGUAAGUCACAAAUGGGAGGCACAUCCGCACUUUUAACGUCUUUAGUAGCCACACUGUAAAACGUAAAAAGAGCAGAUGGACUUGCUUGUGCUGAUAGAUCUUUGUUAAACUCGAGAGAGCGAAACUAGGAGAAACAGAGAAUUAAUAUAAUCAAACUAUUUUUGAGCUAAUUUACAUGAUUAUUAUUACUAUUUUGGGUACGAAGUCUUUUUUUUUUUUUUUUUUUUUUUUUUUUUUGUCUUUUCCUCUUUUCUAGGGCCACUCCUGCGGCAUGUAGAGGUUCCCAGGCUAGGGGUCUAAUCGGAGCUGUAGCCACCUGCCUACGCCACAGCCACAGCAACGGCAGAUCCGAGCCGAGUCUGUGACCUACACCACAGCUCAAGGCAACACCGGAUCCUUAACCCACUGAGCAGGGCCAGGGAUCGAACCCGCCACCUCAUGGUUCCUAGUCGGAUUCGUUAACCACCGAGCCACGACAGGAACUCCGGUAUGAAGUCUUUGAAAUCCAGUGUGUGUUUUGCACUAAUCUCACACCCCCAUUGGAAUUAGCCACAUUUCACAAGCUCCACCUGUCCGCAUGGUCAGUGGUUAGCAGAGUGGGGAAUGCAGCUUUAUUUUAUUUUUUUAUUUUUAUUUUUUAUUAUUUUAUUUUAUUUUUCCUGAUUUUUAUUUAUUUACUUUUUGUUUUUUUUUAAUUUUUUUAUUACUCAAAGAAUUUAUCACAUCUGUAGUUGUAUAGUGAUUGUCACAAUCCAGUUUCACAGGAUUUCCAUCCCACAACCCAUGCACAUCCCCCCACCCCCGGGAAUGCAGCUUUAGAACGCGGUUCCUCUGGGCAGGGAUCCUGUACUUUUCCUCUCUUUCUUCAGUGCCCAGAGGAGGGUGCCCCAGACGGAGGGCACGGCAUGGACAAAGACCCAGGCAUGAAAGAGCAAAGUAUGUUCUGGGGACAGCAAGCCAGUUGGAGUGGCUGCCGUGUGAAGUAACUUAGCUGGGAGCCGUGGGCAGUGGGAUUGCCUCGGGUCUGUGCCACACGGAGACAGGCCUUGAGGACCCUGCUAAAGAAUUUUGGGUCUUGGUCAUGUGGGCAACUCGGGUCAUUGUUUAUUUAUGAGCAGAGGAGUGUCCUAUUCAGGUUACGGAUUUAGACAGAGCCCUCUGGUAGGCAGCACGGAGGAUAAUUUGGAUGGAGCUAAUCAGGAGGCAGAGCAACCAGCUAGGAAGCAGAUGCUGCUGCCAUACAGGUGAGUGAUGAGGAGGCAGCGGGGAUGAGGAGGUGGGACAGACUGGAGCGUCAGUAAGAAAUGUCAGGACUGGGGGACCAAUGCACUGGUGGGGAAGGAGUGCAGGAAGGAGUCCCAAGUUCUCGGCUUGGGGCGCCAGUUCUCUGAGCCAGGAUACAUGGGGAGAGGGGGAGGAGGAGCAGCUCUGUGGAGGACAAUAAUCCUGGGACAGGCUGGCUUUGAGGUUCUGGCAAGACAUCUGGGUGGACAGGAGCAGUAAGUGGUUAGGGCACACCAUGCUAGGGUUCGUCAGUGGUAGUGAGUUCCUUGUCACAUGAAGCAUUCAAGAAGGGGCUAGACAAACACUCACUUGGGAUGUUGCAGAGGGCUUAUACGCAUCCCAGGUGAGCUGGGCCUGUGACUGCACAGCCUGGAUCGUGUCUGUAUGUGUGUGCAGGAGACACUAUCUAUUGGGGCUUGGGCAUGUCUACAAUUUGAGGACCUUUGGGGUUUAAAGGUGGUUUGCGUUUCUGGACCUGGGCCCAUAACUGGAACUGGGGGCAGGAUCGGGCAUGCUGGCUUCGUGGGGGCAGAGGUUUUAAGCGACCACAGGGGAAGAGAGCCCUGAGGUCCUGUUGAACCCAUUUCUCAGAACCAGGGAGCUAGAAGGAUUCUUGAUCUUCAAUCGGCCUCCCCUCCGCAUCUCAGUUUGAUUGGUAGGAAAACUGAGGGCCUUGCCCAAGGUCACACAGAAGGUCAUGACACAUCAGGCGGGGAGGCCUUUCCAUGCUGGCUCCCCACUUCCUCAGAUCCCAAGUGCCCGCAGCAUCUGCGUCUCCUGGGUCUCCUUGGCACAGGAGAUGUUCUCUAACACGUAUGGUGAGGGAUCCCGGUCCCUUUUAAUUAGGAAGAUACAAAGAGAGAAGUCAGACAGCCGCCCCCACCCACAGUUGGGAGAGUAAGUGUUCCCCAAAUUACACAGCAGAUGCCAGGACUCCAGCAACAAGACCCAGCUUGAUAGCUUUGUGGUAACCUCAGCCAGCACAAUUUUAUUUUUAUGUUUUAACUCCUUGGUGAUAUAUAGACCUCUCACAGGCAGGAGAAAUGGCAUCCAGAACGUCUCCCUUGAAAAAAAAAAUUUGUUUUUGAAUUUGCGCAACACACACCCAGUUUAAUUAACCCUUCUGUCAGGGUGCUUGGUCUGCCCUGGGCUGGGUGAGAAAAACUGUUUCUCUCCUGGGAGGCGGGGGUAGUGCGAAUUACCUGAGGAGGAGGCAGAUGUAGGUGGUGGGCUAGCCGGGCCAAGGUCUUGCUGUGGGACCCCUGACGGGCCCCUGAUCCUCUUGGGGUCUCUGGGUCCCAAAUGAUAAACCCCCGGACAACCAACCUGACGGGCAAUUAUAUAUGCCUCUUUCGGGGUCUCUAAUUUUUUCUUCUUUCCUUCCUCUCUUUCUCCUGUCUCUUUAGGGCCACACCCACGGCAUAUGGAGGUUCCCAGGCUAGGGGUCCAAUCGGAGCUAUAGUUGUUGGCCUACACCACAGCCACAGCCACACGGGAUCCGAGCCGCGUCUGCAACCUACACCACAGCUCACGGCAAUGCCGGAUCCUUAACCCACUGAGCGAGGCCGGGGAUCGAACCUGCAUCCUCAUGGAUGCUAGUCGGGUUUGUUAACUGCUGAGCCACAAAGGGAUCUCCUAUUUUUUUUUUUUUUUUCUGCUUUAAAAUGUUCGGUCUAAAGGGCCAGUUCUAUGGGAGUCCCUGCCUUUCCUCUCCACACCUUCCAAAUCUCUAUUUCCAUACCGACUUGCUCUUCAGAGCUGGAACCGGACUGUUUUGAAUCAAAGCUCAUUUCUGACCCUUCCCACUCCCUCGUCUGGACGAGCUAAAGGUCUGCGGAGCCCUUCCCAUAUCCUUUCUAACCACACCAGCUCUGCCAGCGGCUCCUGUCUCCUUCCACUCUCUCUAGCGUCUCUCGUUCAGAUGAGUUUUUCGACACCCAGCUCUACUCGGCCACUUCCUGGACCAGAAAACUGGAGGGCGAGCCCCUCCCCCACUGUCUGAGGCCCGAAGCCCCAACGCCUAGGCCUGCAAGGCCUGGGGCCCCAAGAUCUAGGCCCUGGCCACUGUGCAACCAUCCCCCCACCCUGGCUGCCCAUCCCGCCUCGCACACAAACGCCCAAGCGAACCUUGGUAUGUUUUCAGACCAGCAGCUCAGUCGCAAAACACGAAGCAGGCUACUUGAAAUUUGCCUUCAGCUGCCUGGAAAAUCUGCAGAGAACCCCCUUUAAUCCCUCCUUCUUACCCCCAACUUCUGCCUUCCUCUCCCCCCCUUGGAGGACGCAUGGCCCCUUGAAGUUUUGUUUGCUUGCAGGGAAUAAAAAAAUAACAAAAAC